This 447-nucleotide ribosomal RNA is filed under the name uncultured bacterium. Its description in RNAcentral is "bacterial SSU rRNA". It matches the Rfam family "Bacterial small subunit ribosomal RNA", at positions 355 to 825 of the family's 1533-position model. The record is from RNAcentral.
UGGGGAAUCUUGGACAAUGGGCGCAAGCCUGAUCCAGCCAUGCCGCGUGGAUGAUGAAGGCCUUAGGGUUGUAAAAUCCUUUCGUGGGGGACGAUAAUGACGGUACCCCAAGAAGAAGCUCCGGCUAACUUCGUGCCAGCAGCCGCGGUAAUACGAAGGGGGCUAGCGUUGUUCGGAUUUACUGGGCGUAAAGCGCGUGUAGGCGGGUCGUUAAGUUGGGGGUGAAAUCCCGAGGCUCAACCUCGGAACUGCCUUCAAAACUGGCGACCUGGACCCAAGUAGAGGCAAGUGGAAUUGCGAGUGUAGAGGUGAAAUUCGUAGAUAUUCGCAGGAACACCAGUGGCGAAGGCGACUUGCUGGACUUGUGGUGACGCUGAGACGCGAAAGCGUGGGGAGCAAACAGGAUUAGAUACCCUCGUAGUCCCUGAGCGGGCUGGCAAGGCGCAU